RNAcentral lists this ribosomal RNA (448 nucleotides) under uncultured bacterium. RNAcentral describes it as "bacterial SSU rRNA". It matches the Rfam family "Bacterial small subunit ribosomal RNA", at positions 329 to 794 of the family's 1533-position model. The record is from RNAcentral.
CGCCAGACUCCUACGGGAGGCAGCAGUGGGGAAUAUUGCACAAUGGGGGAAACCCUGAUGCAGCGACGCCGCGUGAGCGAUGAAGUAUUUCGGUAUGUAAAGCUCUAUCAGCAGGGAAGAAAAUGACGGUACCUGACUAAGAAGCCCCGGCUAACUACGUGCCAGCAGCCGCGGUAAUACGUAGGGGGCAAGCGUUAUCCGGAUUUACUGGGUGUAAAGGGAGCGUAGACGGCAAUGCAAGCCAGAUGUGAAAGCCCGGGGCUCAACCCCGGGACUGCAUUUGGAACUGUGUAGCUGGAGUGUCGGAGAGGCAGGCGGAAUUCCUAGUGUAGCGGUGAAAUGCGUAGAUAUUAGGAGGAACACCAGUGGCGAAGGCGGCCUGCUGGACGAUGACUGACGUUGAGGCCCGAAAGCGUGGGGAGCAAACAGGAUUAGAUACCCGAGUAAC